AGUGAACGCUGGCGGUAGGCCUAACACAUGCAAGUCGAACGGCAGCACAGUAAGAGCUUGCUCUUACGGGUGGCGAGUGGCGGACGGGUGAGGAAUACAUCGGAAUCUACUUUUUCGUGGGGGAUAACGUAGGGAAACUUACGCUAAUACCGCAUACGACCUACGGGUGAAAGCAGGGGAUCUUCGGACCUUGCGCGAUUGAAUAAGCCGGUGUCGGAUUAGCUAGUUGGCGGGGUAAAGGCCCACCAAGGCGACGAUCCGUAGCUGGUCUGAGAGGAUGAUCAGCCACACUGGAACUGAGACACGGUCCAGACUCCUACGGGAGGCAGCAGUGGGGAAUAUUGGACAAUGGGCGCAAGCCUGAUCCAGCCAUACCGCGUGGGUGAAGAAGGCCUUCGGGUUGUAAAGCCCUUUUGUUGGGAAAGAAAAGCAGCAGGUUAAUACCCCGCUGUUCUGACGGUACCCAAAGAAUAAGCACCGGCUAACUUCGUG
This 492-nucleotide ribosomal RNA is filed under the name uncultured bacterium. RNAcentral's name for it is "partial 16S ribosomal RNA". It matches the Rfam family "Bacterial small subunit ribosomal RNA", at positions 29 to 507 of the family's 1533-position model. The record is from RNAcentral.